This 277-nucleotide ribosomal RNA is filed under the name uncultured prokaryote. RNAcentral's name for it is "partial 16S ribosomal RNA". It matches the Rfam family "Bacterial small subunit ribosomal RNA", at positions 524 to 800 of the family's 1533-position model. The record is from RNAcentral.
UACGUAGGGGGCAAGCGUUGUCCGGAAUUAUUGGGCGUAAAGGGCGCGUAGGCGGCCGUAUAAGUCUGGAGUGAAAGUCCUUCUUUCAAGGAAGGAAUUGCUUUGGAAACUAUAUGGCUUGAGUGCAGGAGAGGUUAUCGGAAUUCCCGGUGUAGCGGUGAAAUGCGUAGAGAUUAGGAAGAACACCAGUGGCGAAGGCGAUUCUCUGGACUGUAACUGACGCUGAGGCUCGAAAGCGUGGGGAGCAAACAGGAUUAGAUACCCUGGUAGUCCCUGA